GCGGCGGACGGGUGAGUAACACGUGGGUAACCUGCCCGUAAGACCGGGAUAACUCCGGGAAACCGGGGCUAAUACCGGAUAACACCGGGGGCCGCAUGGCUUCCGGUUGAAAGGCGGCCUUUGGCUGCCACUUACGGAUGGGCCCGCGGCGCAUUAGCUAGUUGGCGGGGUAACGGCCCACCAAGGCGACGAUGCGUAGCCGGCCUGAGAGGGUGGACGGCCACACUGGGACUGAGACACGGCCCAGACUCCUACGGGAGGCAGCAGUAGGGAAUCUUCCGCAAUGGGCGAAAGCCUGACGGAGCGACGCCGCGUGAGCGAGGAAGGCCUUCGGGUCGUAAAGCUCUGUUGUCAGGGAAGAAGGCGUGCCGUUCGAAUAGGGCGGCGCGGUGACGGUACCUGACGAGGAAGCCCCGGCUAACUACGUGCCAGCAGCCGCGGUAAAAC
Molecule: ribosomal RNA, 447 nt
Filed under: Geobacillus sp. M24C029
Lineage: Bacteria; Bacillati; Bacillota; Bacilli; Caryophanales; Anoxybacillaceae
Description: bacterial SSU rRNA
Rfam family: Bacterial small subunit ribosomal RNA
Source: RNAcentral